GCCAGAUGUGGUAGUGCUCACCUGUAAUCCCUGCUUCUUGGGACGCUGAGGCAGGAGGAUUGUUUGAGAAUAGGACUUGGGGCUCUAGUGUGCUAGAGUGUUUAGCAUAAAUAUGGUGACCUCCUGCGAGUGGGGGACCACCAGGUUGCCUCAGGAGRGUCGAACUUACCCAGGUGAGAAAUGGAGUAAUCAAAAUUCACAUGCUGAUCCAUAGUGGGAUCUCAUCUGUGAAUAAACUCUGCACUCCAGUCUGAGCAGAAUAAGAUUCUGCCUCU
This 275-nucleotide signal recognition particle RNA is filed under the name Urocitellus parryii (Arctic ground squirrel). RNAcentral describes it as "Metazoan signal recognition particle RNA (ENSUPAG00010022521.1)". It matches the Rfam family "Metazoan signal recognition particle RNA". From Rfam's summary of the family: The signal recognition particle (SRP) is a universally conserved ribonucleoprotein. Lineage: Eukaryota; Metazoa; Chordata; Mammalia; Rodentia; Sciuridae. The record is from RNAcentral.